GAUGAACGCUGGCGGCGUGCUUAACACAUGCAAGUCGAACGGAAAGGCCCAAGCUUGCUUGGGUACUCGAGUGGCGAACGGGUGAGUAACACGUGGGUGAUCUGCCCUGCACUUCGGGAUAAGCCUGGGAAACUGGGUCUAAUACCGGAUAGGACCACUUCUUGGAUGUUGUGGUGGAAAGUUUUUUCGGUGUGGGAUGAGCUCGCGGCCUAUCAGCUUGUUGGUGGGGUAAUGGCCUACCAAGGCGUCGACGGGUAGCCGGCCUGAGAGGGUGUACGGCCACAUUGGGACUGAGAUACGGCCCAGACUCCUACGGGAGGCAGCAGUGGGGAAUAUUGCACAAUGGGCGCAAGCCUGAUGCAGCGACGCCGCGUGGGGGAUGACGGCCUUCGGGUUGUAAACUCCUUUCGCUAGGGACGAAGCGUUUUGUGACGGUACCUGGAGAAGGAGCACCGGCUAACUACGUG
This 467-nucleotide ribosomal RNA is filed under the name uncultured bacterium. Its description in RNAcentral is "partial 16S ribosomal RNA". It matches the Rfam family "Bacterial small subunit ribosomal RNA", at positions 28 to 507 of the family's 1533-position model. The record is from RNAcentral.